GGUUAAGCGACUAAGCGUACACGGUGGAUGCCCUGGCAGUCAGAGGCGAUGAAGGACGUGCUAAUCUGCGAUAAGCGCCGGUAAGGUGAUAUGAACCGUUAUAACCGGCGAUUUCCGAAUGGGGAAACCCAGUGUGACUCGUCACACUAUCAUUAACUGAAUCCAUAGGUUAAUGAGGCGAACCGGGGGAACUGAAACAUCUAAGUACCCCGAGGAAAAGAAAUCAACCGAGAUUCCCCCAGUAGCGGCGAGCGAACGGGGAGGAGCCCAGAGCCUGAAUCAGCAUGUGUGUUAGUGGAAGCGUCUGGAAAGGCGCGCGAUACAGGGUGACAGCCCCGUACACAAAAGCGCAUGUGCUGUGAGCUCGAUGAGUAGGGCGGGACACGUGGUAUCCUGUCUGAAUAUGGGGGGACCAUCCUCCAAGGCUAAAUACUCCUGACUGACCGAUAGUGAACCAGUACCGUGAGGGAAAGGCGAAAAGAACCCCGGCGAGGGGAGUGAAAAAGAACCUGAAACCGUGUACGUACAAGCAGUGGGAGCACCCUUUGGGGUGUGACUGCGUACCUUUUGUAUAAUGGGUCAGCGACUUAUAUUCUGUAGCAAGGUUAACCGAAUAGGGGAGCCGGAGGGAAACCGAGUCUUAAU
This 645-nucleotide ribosomal RNA is filed under the name Salmonella enterica. RNAcentral's name for it is "partial 23S ribosomal RNA". It matches the Rfam family "Bacterial large subunit ribosomal RNA", at positions 1 to 688 of the family's 2925-position model. Lineage: Bacteria; Pseudomonadati; Pseudomonadota; Gammaproteobacteria; Enterobacterales; Enterobacteriaceae. The record is from RNAcentral.